UCUGAAAUCGAUCCCGAGCAGUGGACAUCAUUUUCUCGCUGAGCAGCGGAUAUUCAAAAUCGAGCGAGGACACGAAUGACCCUCGUCAUAUAUUCAACGCAUAUUUAUACAAAAAAGAAAAUUUUUUUU
Trachymyrmex septentrionalis is the source of this 129-nucleotide long non-coding RNA. RefSeq lists it as uncharacterized. NCBI's taxonomy places the organism in Eukaryota, Metazoa, Arthropoda, Insecta, Hymenoptera, Formicidae. The transcript is spliced from 3 exons. The record is from RefSeq and is a predicted model, not a curated record.